UACAGAGGGUGCGAACGUUGCUCGGAGUUACUGGGCGUAAAGCGCGUGUAGGCGGUGCCGCACGUCCGAUGUGAAAGCCCGGGGCUCAACCCCGGAAGUGCAUUGGAUACGACGGCGCUGGAGUCCUGAAGAGGAGGGCGGAAUUCCCGGUGUAGAGGUGAAAUUCGUAGAUAUCGGGAGGAACACCAGUGGCGAAGGCGGCUCUCUGGACAGGUACUGACGCUGAGACGCGAAAGCGUGGGUAGCAAACAGG
RNAcentral lists this ribosomal RNA (253 nucleotides) under uncultured bacterium. Its description in RNAcentral is "partial 16S ribosomal RNA". It matches the Rfam family "Bacterial small subunit ribosomal RNA", at positions 524 to 776 of the family's 1533-position model. The record is from RNAcentral.